This is an RNA transcript of Cherax quadricarinatus, 1099 nucleotides long. It is a transcript of the gene named zinc finger protein 84-like, with no coding region annotated. The record is from RefSeq and is a predicted model, not a curated record. NCBI's taxonomy places the organism in Eukaryota, Metazoa, Arthropoda, Malacostraca, Decapoda, Parastacidae.
AGUGCCGCUGUUGCCUUACUUGACAUAGAUCAUGUAUCUGAUUCAUGCGGAGGUCGGUUCCAGUUUUUUCGAUCCAUCUAGAGGAGUGUUCACCAGUGUUGAGGAAAGUUUGGGGGGCUUCUGUGCAGGGGUUUGAAUGAGCUUGCCUGAGCAUAUUAACCCCAAUUAGGAUAUUUCUUUCAGUAACACGAUCUCUGAUGCUUGGAAUAUCAAGUUCUUUUUGCAUAUUUAAAAUUUUGGCAGUACGAGGGCAUCCUAAAAUGAUCCUCAUUGCUUCGUUCUGCAGUUUUUCCAGCCCUCCAAGCUUCCAGUCAGACACAAGAGCAAGUAGUGGCGCAUAUGCAAGUGGCCCGGUGGCCUGGUGGCUAAAGCUCCCGCUUCACACACGGAGGGCCCGGGUUCGAUUCCCGGCGGGUGGAAACAUUUCGACACGUUUCCUUACACCUGUUGUCCUGUUCACCUAGCAGCAAAUAGGUACCUGGGUGUUAGUCGACUGGUGUGGGUCGCAUCCUGGGGGACAAGAUUAAGGACCCCAAUGGAAAUAAGUUAGACAGUCCUCGAUGACGCACUGACUUUCUUGGGUUAUCCUGGGUGGCUAACCCUCCGGGGUUAAAAAUCCGAACGAAAUCUUAUCUUAUCUUAUCUUAUCAUCGUGUGUGUCUGCCAGACUGGUGAGAGUGGUGGCUGUGGUGGCCCUUCAAGCAUCAACAACAUUGUCAGGCUGGACACCAUCAUCCUGGCAGUUAUUUUACUGGUUUAUUGCGGGUUUUUGUGUCAUUUUUGGUGGGAGGAGAUGGAGACGUCGCCCAAAAAUGAGUGUGGAGAAGCCAGAGCCCACUGAAAGAUUUGGUUGAUGUCCGCCUGGAGCCUUGCAGUGUCUGCAAUGGAAGACACUGUCAUGCAGAUUUGGGUGUCAUCUGCAAAGGAAGACACGGUGCUGUGGCUGACAUCCUUGUCUAUGUCGGAUAUGAAGAUGAGGAACAAGAUGGGAGCGAGUACUGUGCCUUGUGGAACAGAGCUUUUCACCGUAGCUGCCUCGGACUUUACUCUGUUGACUACUACUCUCUGUGUUCUGUUAGUGAGGAAAUUAUAGAUCCAU